Molecule: unclassified non-coding RNA, 452 nt
Filed under: Hevea brasiliensis (rubber tree)
Lineage: Eukaryota; Viridiplantae; Streptophyta; Magnoliopsida; Malpighiales; Euphorbiaceae
Source: RNAcentral
GCAUUCAAAAGUAUUUCAAUUGCUUGACCACAUCCACUUGUUAAGUAAAUAUCAUCAGGAGACAACUUGUAUGGGAGAUCUUGAGAAAGGUAUUCUGCUACAGCCCGUCUAGCAGGAAGGAUGCCGACGGUGGAUGAGUAACCGUUGAACUUAGCAGAACGAACGGCAUCAGAAAUAGCAUCUUCGGCGAUUGUUGUAGUCCGAAAACAGGGGAAAGCAGAAGGAUCGCCAUGGCCAAGAGGGAUAGUGGGUCGGGUAUCAGCAGGGUCAACACAACACCUCAACUUGUUAAGAACACUUCUUACUGUGAGAUCCGAUACACUUACCAAUUUUUCAUUCUCCUUAAAGUUCCAUCUUCUCAUCCCUGUAGUCGUACCGUUCUCCAUGCUUCUUUUGUGGCAGUGAAUUUGCAGAUAUGGAGUACAAAGUAGCAAUGGGAAUAGAAAUAGAAG